CCCCACCUUGGCCCCUAGAUCAGUCCGUAUCGGGUCCCUGACCCGGGUCUGUCUGGAGCCUGGGCAGGAGCCAGAGCCGGGAAGGGAGGGCGCGUGUUCCGCAGGCUCUGGCUAGCGAGGCUGUGGGGCGGGUCUGUGGGAAGAGCCCCCGGCAACCUACCCUGAGGAGGAGACGGAGCCGCCCUGCGCCUCGCCCCGUUCUGGGCGGAGAGGACCGCGGGAGUGGCCGGCCACGCUCCCGCGGCUGACACCAGGUGAGCGCUCCCGAGGGGAGGUCUCCCCGCGUCACGUGACCGCCUCCGCCGCCGUCAUUGUUACCGGGGUCAGAGACCCUCCCGGCGUGGCCUGGGGACCCCGGGCCUGGAGAGCCGAGUGAGUCUCCUUGCCCCGCCCAGAGAGUCUUGAUGCUGGCUUGGAGCAGAGACUGACCCCGGACCACUGGAGCCUUGGUUUGCUCAGGUGGGACGGGCACUGUGGCACUGGGCUCCGGGAACAGCACGGCUGGGAUUCGGCUGGGGGCAGGGCGCCUGUACAGCUCUCCGGGCCAGCAGCCGCAGUUUGUGUGGCUUCUCGGACGUGCACCCCCAAACUUCAGCCAGGAAUGAGGCCUCGAGGAAAUCCCCCACCAGCCCGGUAAGUGGGGGUCCUGGGACUGACUUCAAAACAGGAAGUGCCUGCCGCCUGCCCGCCCUCCUGUUCCAGGAACUCCAGAGGCAGGAAGCUCAGCCGGCUGUCCCUGGCGCCUGCCGCCCGGCUGGCCAGGGUUUUGCUAGUCGGCAGGUGGAUCGCCCUUUGCUCCUAGGCUGGCAGGCAGGUCACCUGAGGCCUAUUUGUCCAGGAAGUAGACGGGAGCCUCCUGUGGACACACAGGCCCUCCCUCCUGCCACCCCUGGGGUCCCUCUGCCAGCCCUGGGCAGUGUGGGGGUGUCUGGCCAGUGCUGCUGUCAGUGGCAGGAUCUAGUCACACAUGAUAUUUACUGAGCACCCAGGGUGUGCCUGCCCCAGGGGUGUCUGUUGACAUCAGUCAGGAGAGGCGCAGGGGGAGCCGCCUGGAUCUUUCUGCCAGGGGUGAGAGCAUUGUCUGAAGGGGGCCCACAGGGUCCCCCUGUCUGUCUGGCCUGGGCUCCAGGCCUAGCCCUGUGGUAGAGACCCGCCCAGGGGCCUGGGCGCCUGUUGGGCGGCCCCAGCUGCAGCCCCGCCCACGCACUCCUCCUCCUCCCCCCCUCCCUGAGCCCCAGGACAUUCCAUUCAUUCCGGGCUCACUGUGGCUGGCGCGGCCCGCUGGGCGGGGCGUGGGUGAGUGGGGAAGGCUGGAAGGACAGGCUUGGUGGGGACUGAUACUGCUGGGUGGACUGCGGGGGGGUGUGGGGAAAGUGGGGCCUUUGUGGGGGGGUAGCAGGAGGGCCUGUACCCAUGGAUACCCCAAGAGAGUCUUGCUGUUCUCGCGUCUCCCCAUCUUCC
Molecule: long non-coding RNA, 1461 nt
Filed under: Oryctolagus cuniculus (rabbit)
Lineage: Eukaryota; Metazoa; Chordata; Mammalia; Lagomorpha; Leporidae
Description: lncRNA (ENSOCUG00000037760.1)
Source: RNAcentral